UAAAUAUGGUUUGCAUACCUUCAUAUAUCCUCGAUAAUAUGGUUCGAAAGUCUCUACCGGGUCACCGUAAAUGAUCUGACUAUGAAGGCAGUAUUCAUUUUG
This 102-nucleotide non-coding RNA is filed under the name Bacillus sp. (in: firmicutes). RNAcentral's name for it is "Bacillus sp. Guanine sequence". It matches the Rfam family "Purine riboswitch aptamer". Rfam says of the family: Riboswitches are metabolite binding domains within certain messenger RNAs that serve as precision sensors for their corresponding targets. Allosteric rearrangement of mRNA structure is mediated by ligand binding, and this results in modulation of gene expression. The record is from RNAcentral. RNAcentral also lists the same sequence under 1 other name. Lineage: Bacteria; Bacillati; Bacillota; Bacilli; Caryophanales; Bacillaceae.